RNAcentral lists this transfer RNA (397 nucleotides) under uncultured Microcystis sp. Its description in RNAcentral is "partial contains 16S-23S ribosomal RNA intergenic spacer, and 23S ribosomal RNA". The stretch from base 133 to 206 matches the Rfam family "tRNA". The record is from RNAcentral. Lineage: Bacteria; Bacillati; Cyanobacteriota; Cyanophyceae; Chroococcales; Microcystaceae.
AAGGGAGACCUAAUUCCGGUAGGAGACGAAAAAAAAGUAGUCCCUACCAAGAAUCAAUCCCAAAAGGUCGGAACGAGGUAUGAGGCUUUCAAACUAGGUUCUGGGUUCAUAAAAGACCAGAAUCAGGAACAAGGGCUAUUAGCUCAGGUGGUUAGAGCGCACCCCUGAUAAGGGUGAGGUCCCUGGUUCGAGUCCAGGAUGGCCCACCUGCACAGGUGGCAAAAACAAGAGAAGCGAGGAAUCAGCACCUUAUCUUAUAUACAUAUAUAAGAGAGAAUGCUGGCUCUGAGUACAGAGUCCAGAGGAACCUUGAAAACUGCAUAGAGCUAGGUGAAAAAGCCAAAAAAGAAGACCGCAAGGUCAAGCUAAUAAGGGCUAACGGUGGAUACCUAGGCAC